Molecule: ribosomal RNA, 566 nt
Filed under: Lodderomyces parapsilosis
Lineage: Eukaryota; Fungi; Ascomycota; Pichiomycetes; Serinales; Debaryomycetaceae
Description: eukaryotic LSU rRNA
Rfam family: Eukaryotic large subunit ribosomal RNA
Source: RNAcentral
UGCCUUAGUAGCGGCGAGUGAAGCGGCAAAAGCUCAAAUUUGAAAUCUGGCACUUUCAGUGUCCGAGUUGUAAUUUGAAGAAGGUAUCUUUGGGUCUGGCUCUUGUCUAUGUUUCUUGGAACAGAACGUCACAGAGGGUGAGAAUCCCGUGCGAUGAGAUGUCCCAGACCUAUGUAAAGUUCCUUCGAAGAGUCGAGUUGUUUGGGAAUGCAGCUCUAAGUGGGUGGUAAAUUCCAUCUAAAGCUAAAUAUUGGCGAGAGACCGAUAGCGAACAAGUACAGUGAUGGAAAGAUGAAAAGAACUUUGAAAAGAGAGUGAAAAAGUACGUGAAAUUGUUGAAAGGGAAGGGCUUGAGAUCAGACUUGGUAUUUUGUAUGUUACUCUCUCGGGGGUGGCCUCUACAGUUUACCGGGCCAGCAUCAGUUUGAGCGGUAGGAUAAGUGCAAAGAAAUGUGGCACUGCUUCGGUAGUGUGUUAUAGUCUUUGUCGAUACUGCCAGCUUAGACUGAGGACUGCGGCGUCGGCCUAGGAUGUUGGCAUAAUGAUCUUAAGUCGCCCGUCUUGAG